GGUGUUUCCUCCAAGGCUGCCCCCCAGAAGGACCUGCCCGAGAGGGUAGAGGGCAUAGGGUCAAGAUCAAGAUAAGGCAGCUCCAGCCCCUGGAAGGCCAGAGACUUGCCAGUGUCCCACUAGCGGGCUCUUUGCAAGAAUCUCCCCAGGCCCGCCGCAGCCAGGUGGCGGCCGGCAGAGGGCGCUGCUCGGGCAUGGCGGAGGAGCGGCCGGGGGCCUGGUUCGGCUUCGGUUUCUGCGGCUUCGGGCAGGAGCUGGGCUCCGGACGCGGGCGCCAGGUGCACAGCCCCAGUCCGCUGCGGGCGGGCGUCGACAUCUGCCGCGUGAGCGCGAGCUGGAGCUACACAGCUUUCGUGACCCGUGAGCACUCCCCGCCCCGUCCCCACUUAUUCCAGCCGCGCUCCCCAGUCGCCUCCCCGCACCGCUGUGGCCAGUCCAGUGUGUCUCCCCCGUUCAGGCCGCCAGCCCCACAUUCUGGACUGGUCCCCAAUUCGGCCCCUUCCCAGGAACACCCCCCCACCCGCCUCCAUUCUGGCCACCCUGCUCCAAUCUAGACCAGCCCCCAGCGCCGCCCCAAAUUCUAGGCCCUCGGUGCAUGUCCCUUCCCCUCCCUAGCCCGCUCUCCGCCCCGCAGGUGGAGGCCGCGUGGAGCUGUCGGGCUCAGCCAGCGGCGCGGCGGGCGGCUGCAAGGACGCGUGGGCCUCAGAGGGGCUCCUCGUGGUGCUACGCGCCCGGCCGGGGCCGGAGGCGUUACUGCAGGUCUGGGCGCCCGAAUCGGCGUUGCGUGGGGAGCCCUUGUGGGCCCAGAACGUGGUGCCCGAGGCCGAAGGGGAAGACGAUCCGGCCGGUGAGGCCCAGGCUGGGAGGCUACCCCUGCUGCCCUGCGCCUGUGCCUACGUGAGCCCGCGGGCGCCCUUCUACCGGCCUCUGGCUCCGGAGCUGCGGGCACGCCAGCUGGAGCUGGGCGCCGAGCACGCGUUGCUGCUGGAUGCUGCUGGCCAGGUGUUCUCCUGGGGCGGGGGCAGGCAUGGACAGCUGGGCCAUGGGACCCUGGAGGCAGAGCUGGAGCCACGGCUGUUGGAGGCGUUGCAGGGCCUAGUCAUGGCUGAGGUGGCCGCGGGGGGCUGGCAUUCUGUGUGUGUGAGUGAGACUGGUGAUAUUUAUAUCUGGGGCUGGAAUGAAUCAGGGCAGCUGGCCCUGCCCACCAGGAACCUGGCAGAGGAUGGAGAGACUGUCGCAAAGGACGCCACAGAACUGAAUGAAGAUGGUUCUCAGGUGAAGAGAACGGGCGGGGCUGAGGAUGGAGCCCCUGCCCCCUUCAUAGCUGUCCAGCCCUUCCCAGCAUUACUGGAUCUCCCCUUGGGCUCAGAUGCAGUCAAGGCCAGCUGUGGAUCCCGGCACACAGCUGUGGUGACACGAACAGGGGAGCUCUACACCUGGGGCUGGGGUAAAUACGGACAGCUGGGCCACGAGGACACCACCAGCUUGGAUCGGCCCCGCCGUGUGGAAUACUUUGUAGAUAAGAAACUCCAAGUAAAGGCUGUCACCUGUGGGCCCUGGAACACCUACGUGUAUGCUGUGGAGAAAGGGAAGAGCUGAUGUGUGUAUGUAUAUGUAUAUACAACACCUGUGAAACCCCCAUUCAGGUCAAGGAAAACCAUUGCCUGCACCUCAAGGGCCCCAUAUUUGCCCCUCCCCAUCACAGUCCUGCCCUUCACCCUCAAGCACGGUCCUAAACUUGUCUGCACUUUAGAAACACCUGGAGAGCAUUGAAAACUCUGCUGCCUAAGGUCAGCAUCAAUGAAAACAAUGAAGUCAAUGAAACAAUGAAAUCAGAGCCUCUAGGUGUGUGGCCUGGAUAGUGGUAGAUUCAAAGCUCCGCCUACCUCAUCCCAGGUACAUUUGAUGUGCAGCUGAGAUUGGGGCACAUUCCAGGUCAUCUUCCUUUGUCAGUCACUUCCCUGCUUUUGUUAGAAUUUUACCAUUCUUGUAUGCAGCCUUACACGACAUAGUUGUGUUUGCUUUUGAGUGUUAGGUAAAUGGAAUCCUGUGUAUGUGCUUUCGUGUCGUUUUUGUCACUCAGCAUUGUGUGAUCCAUUCUUGUUGGGUCCUGGAGUUCAUUCAUUUUUAAUGCUAUAUGGUGUUCUGUUGUAUGAAUAAUACCUCAAGUGAUACA
Molecule: small RNA, 2176 nt
Filed under: Pongo abelii (Sumatran orangutan)
Lineage: Eukaryota; Metazoa; Chordata; Mammalia; Primates; Hominidae
Description: retained intron
Source: RNAcentral